Molecule: ribosomal RNA, 253 nt
Filed under: uncultured bacterium
Lineage: Bacteria
Description: partial 16S ribosomal RNA
Rfam family: Bacterial small subunit ribosomal RNA
Source: RNAcentral
UACGUAGGGUGCGAGCGUUAAUCGGAAUUACUGGGCGUAAAGCGUGCGCAGGCGGUUAUAUAAGACAGAUGUGAAAUCCCCGGGCUCAACCUGGGACCUGCAUUUGUGACUGUAUAGCUAGAGUACGGUAGAGGGGGGUGGAAUUCCGCGUGUAGCAGUGAAAUGCGUAGAUAUGCGGAGGAACACCGAUGGCGAAGGCAAUCCCCUGGACCUGUACUGACGCUCAUGCACGAAAGCGUGGGGAGCAAACAGG